AAAUGCCAUUGGAAAGGUACCGCGCUCUGUCGCUGCAAGGGGAGAAUCAACUCCCUGAAACCUGAGGGCAUUUUUUUUCUUUGUCUGCUUGGUGGUUUCCUUGGCUGUUUCGGGGAGGGUUUUCGAACAGAAAGGCUGGUGAAAAAGCACCACAAAUUCCUGCCUGCUUGGCUUCCCAUGUCUCCCUCCCGUCUGUGGGCAACGUGGGGAGUGGGGACCCUGCUUUUGUCCCACAGAGAGCUGGUUCCUGGGCCAAAACACUGACAGCAAAUGGCUUAUGGGCCCCCAGCCUGGCCUGAUCCCACCUCAGUGCCCAAACAUUCACCUGCUGGCAACCAGGGGCUCUCUGCUUUCCAUCGGGUUUAAAUCUUCAUAAAAAA
Long non-coding RNA from Oxyura jamaicensis (ruddy duck), 380 nucleotides. RefSeq lists it as uncharacterized. The record is from RefSeq and is a predicted model, not a curated record. Lineage: Eukaryota; Metazoa; Chordata; Aves; Anseriformes; Anatidae. The transcript has 2 exons.